GUGAACAAUUAAGGGCGCGCGGUGGAUGCCUAGGCUCUCGGAGGCGAAGAAGGACGCGAUAAGCCGCGAUAGUCCACGGCGAGGUGCAAGUAACCCUUGACCCGUGGGUUUCCGAAUGGGGCAACCCGGCCGUCUAGAUGACGGUCAUGCAUUAUCAUGCAGGCGAACGCGGGGAACUGAAACAUCUCAUUACCCGCAGGAGAAGAAAACAACAUGUGAUUCCCCCAGUAGUGGCGAGCGAACGGGGAAGAGCCCAAACCGCUGCCGUUUCGGCGACAGCGGGGUCAUGGGACCACGCCAUUCGAAACAAGAUGAAGUGCAAUUACCUGGAAAGGUAAGCCGCGGAGGGUGAUAGCCCCGUGCACGUCAAUUCUUGUGGAGAUAGUGGAAUCCCGAGUAGGGCGGGACACGAGAAAUCCUGCCUGAAUUCGCCAGGACCUCCUGGCAAGGCUAAAUACUCCCGAGAGACCGAUAGUGAACCAGUACCGCGAGGGAAAGGUGAAAAGUACCCCGAGCAGGGGGGUGAAAUAGACCCUGAACCCGCGCGCCUACAAGCGGUCGGAGCCAUGAAAUAUGGUGACGGCGUGCCUUUUGCAUAAUGAGCCUACGAGUUAGUCGUCACCAGCGAGGUUAAGGGCUUCAGGCCCGUAAGCCGAAGUGAAAGCGAGCCUUAACAGGGCGUCAAGUUGGUGGCGCUAGACGCGAAACCUUGUGAUCUACCCACGAGCAGGUUGAAGUCGCGGUAACACGUGAUGGAGGACCGAACCGGUAAACGUUGAAAAGUUUUCGGAUGACUCGCGGGUAGGGGUGAAAGGCCAAUCAAACUGGGAAAUAGCUCGUACUCUCCGAAAUGCAUUUCGGUGCAGCCUGUGAUGUUCUGUUCCAGAGGUAGAGCUACUGGUUGGACGCGAGGGCUUCACCGCCUAUCAAAUCCGGAUAAACUCCGAAUGCUGGAACACGAAAUCAUGGAGUGAGCCCGCGGGUGCUAAGGUCCGCGGACGAGAGGGAAAGAACCCGGACCACCGGCUAAGGUCCCGGAUGGACAGUUAAGUUGAUCAAACGAGGUGGGAUCGCUGAGACAGCUAGGAUGUUGGCUUGGAAGCAGCCAUUCAUUUAAAGAGUGCGUAACAGCUCACUAGUCGAGCGAUCCCGCGUGGAUAAUACACGGGCAUCAAACUGUCAACCGAAGCCGUGGGGUCAGCGAAAAGCUGACCGGUAGGAGAGCAUUCCUGCCAGCGUCGAAGGUCACCCGCGAGAGUGACUGGAGCGGCAUGAAAAGCAAAUGUAGGCAUAAGUAACGAUAAUGGGGGCGAGAACCCCCCACGCCGCAAGACCAAGGCUUCCCCGGCAAUGUCAAUCAGCCGGGGGUCAGCCGGCCUCUAAGGCUAACCCGAAGGGGGAUGCCGACGAGAAACGGGUUAACAUUCCCGUGCUUCUCGUCACCGUGACGCGGUGACGGGGUGAUGAAUGGACCGCGCGCUGACGGAAUAGCGCGUUGAAGGCCGUACCCUUCGAGGGUGGUAGUCAAGCACGCCACCCGAGGCGAUAGCCGAUAGUACCACGAGACUCCGGUCGAGUGGAUAGCGUCCAGGCAAUUUACCCCCGAGAAAACCCGCUAAACUUCAAGUGACGAGGAACCGUACUGUAAACGGACACACGUGGUCGGGUAGAACAUACCAAGGCGCUCGAGUGAUUCAUGGUCAAGGAACUAGGCAAAAUAGUCCUGUAACUUCGGGAAAAAGGACGCUCUAGUGAUAGAGCCGCAGAGUAAUGGCCCAGGCGACUGUUUACCAAAAACACAUGGCUAUGCCAAAUCGAAAGAUGACGUAUAUGGCCUGACACCUGCCCGGUGCCGGAAGGUUAAGAGGAGAGCUCAUCGGAAACGAGAAGGUUUGAAUUGAAGCCCCGGUAAACGGCGGCCGUAACUAUAACGGUCCUAAGGUAGCGAAAUUCCUUGUCGGGUAAGUUC
Molecule: ribosomal RNA, 1969 nt
Filed under: human gut metagenome
Description: bacterial LSU rRNA
Rfam family: Bacterial large subunit ribosomal RNA
Source: RNAcentral